RNAcentral lists this ribosomal RNA (769 nucleotides) under Streptomyces fragilis. Its description in RNAcentral is "bacterial SSU rRNA". It matches the Rfam family "Bacterial small subunit ribosomal RNA", at positions 129 to 910 of the family's 1533-position model. Lineage: Bacteria; Bacillati; Actinomycetota; Actinomycetes; Kitasatosporales; Streptomycetaceae. The record is from RNAcentral.
CCCUUCACUCUGGGACAAGCCCUGGAAACGGGGUCUAAUACCGGAUACGACCUGCCAAGGCAUCUUGGUGGGUGGAAAGCUCCGGCGGUGAAGGAUGAGCCCGCGGCCUAUCAGCUUGUUGGUGAGGUAACGGCUCACCAAGGCGACGACGGGUAGCCGGCCUGAGAGGGCGACCGGCCACACUGGGACUGAGACACGGCCCAGACUCCUACGGGAGGCAGCAGUGGGGAAUAUUGCACAAUGGGCGAAAGCCUGAUGCAGCGACGCCGCGUGAGGGAUGACGGCCUUCGGGUUGUAAACCUCUUUCAGCAGGGAAGAAGCGAAAGUGACGGUACCUGCAGAAGAAGCGCCGGCUAACUACGUGCCAGCAGCCGCGGUAAUACGUAGGGCGCAAGCGUUGUCCGGAAUUAUUGGGCGUAAAGAGCUCGUAGGCGGCUUGUCACGUCGGUUGUGAAAGCCCGGGGCUUAACCCCGGGUCUGCAGUCGAUACGGGCAGGCUAGAGUUCGGUAGGGGAGAUCGGAAUUCCUGGUGUAGCGGUGAAAUGCGCAGAUAUCAGGAGGAACACCGGUGGCGAAGGCGGAUCUCUGGGCCGAUACUGACGCUGAGGAGCGAAAGCGUGGGGAGCGAACAGGAUUAGAUACCCUGGUAGUCCACGCCGUAAACGGUGGGCACUAGGUGUGGGCAACAUUCCACGUUGUCCGUGCCGCAGCUAACGCAUUAAGUGCCCCGCCUGGGGAGUACGGCCGCAAGGCUAAAACUCAAAGGAAU